GUGCUGGCUUUGGCAGCACAUAUACUAAAAUUGAAACAAUACAGAGAAGAUUAGCAUGGUCCCUGCACAAGGAUGACACACAAAUUCAUGAAGCAUUUAUAUGUUUA
Molecule: small nuclear RNA, 107 nt
Organism: Cricetulus griseus (Chinese hamster)
Lineage: Eukaryota; Metazoa; Chordata; Mammalia; Rodentia; Cricetidae
Source: Ensembl